GGAGGGUGCAAGCGUUGUUCGGAAUCACUGGGCGUAAAGGGCGCGUAGGUGGUUUGAUAAGUCAGAUGUGAAAGCCCACGGCUUAACCGUGGAAGUGCAUUUGAUACUGUUAGACUUGAGUACCAGAGGGGAAAGUGGAAUUCCCGGUGUAGAGGUGAAAUUCGUAGAUAUCGGGAGGAAUACCGGUGGCGAAGGCGACUUUCUGGCUGGAUACUGACGCUGAGGCGCGAAAGCGUGGGGAGCAAACAGGAUUAGAUACCCUGGUAGUCCACGCUGUAAACGAUGUCAACUAGAUGUAGGGGGUGUUGAUCCAUUCUGGGUCGCAGCUAACGCAUUAAGUUGACCGCCUGGGGAGUACGGUCGCAAGAUUA
This 371-nucleotide ribosomal RNA is filed under the name uncultured bacterium. RNAcentral describes it as "bacterial SSU rRNA". It matches the Rfam family "Bacterial small subunit ribosomal RNA", at positions 527 to 896 of the family's 1533-position model. The record is from RNAcentral.